GAUGAACGCUGGCGGCGUGCCUAAUACAUGCAAGUCGAGCGGACGGACGACAGUCUCGCUUCUCUGACGUUAGCGGCGGACGGGUGAGUAACACGCGGAUAACCUUCCUAUAAGACUGGGAUAACUUCGGGAAACAGGCGCUAAUACCGGACGAUAUUUUGAACCGCAUGGUUCAUAUGUUAUAGACGGUCUUGCUGUCACUUAUAGAUGGAUCGGCGCUGCAUUAGCUAGUUGGUAAGGUAACGGCUUACCAAGGCAACGAUGGAUAGCCGACCGGAGAGUGAGAUCGGCCACUCUGGAACGAAGGCACGGACCAGCCUCCUACGGGAGGCAGGAGGAGGGAAGCUACCGCGAUGGGCGGAAGCCUGACGGAGCAAGGCCGCGUGAGUGAUGAAGGUCGUCGGAUCGUAAAGCUCUGUUAUUAGAGAAGAACAGAUGUGUAAGUAUCUGUGCACAGUUGGCCGGAACCUAAGCAGAAGGCCACGGCUAACUACGU
This 496-nucleotide ribosomal RNA is filed under the name uncultured bacterium. RNAcentral's name for it is "partial 16S ribosomal RNA". It matches the Rfam family "Bacterial small subunit ribosomal RNA", at positions 28 to 506 of the family's 1533-position model. The record is from RNAcentral.